AGAGUUUGAUCAUGGCUCAGGAUGAACGCUAGCGGCAGGCUUAAUACAUGCAAGUCGAGGGGUAACAUGGGUAGCAAUACCUGAUGACGACCGGCAAACGGGUGCGGAACACGUACGCAACUUCCCCAAAACUGGUGAAUAGCCCUCCGAAAGGAGGAUUAAUACACCGUAAGAUAUCUGAGUGGCAUCACUUGGCUAUUAUAGCUCCGGCGGUUUUGGAUGGGCGUGCGCCUGAUUAGGUAGUUGGCGGGGUAACGGCCCACCAAGCCUGCGAUCAGUAACUGGUGUGAGAGCACGACCAGUCACACGGGCACUGAGACACGGGCCCGACUCCUACGGGAGGCAGCAGUAAGGAAUAUUGGUCAAUGGACGAAAGUCUGAACCAGCCAUGCCGCGUGAAGGAUGAAGGCCCUCUGGGUUGUAAACUUCUUUUAUAGGGGACGAAAAAAGGGAAUUCUUUCUCACUUGACGGUACCCUAGGAAUAAGCACCGGCUAACUCCGUGCCAGCAGCCGCGGUAAUACGGAGGGUGCAAGCGUUAUCCGGAUUCACUGGGUUUAAAGGGUGCGUAGGUGGGCUUGUAAGUCAGCGGUGAAAUCUCCGGGCUUAACCCGGAAACUGCCAUUGAUACUAUAGGUCUUGAAUUAUCUGGAGGUGAGCGGAAUAUGUCAUGUAGCGGUGAAAUGCUUAGAUAUGACAUAGAACACCAAUUGCGAAGGCAGCUCACUACGGAUCGAUUGACACUGAGGCACGAAAGCGUGGGGAUCAAACAGGAUUAGAUACCCUAGUAGUCC
This 793-nucleotide ribosomal RNA is filed under the name uncultured bacterium. RNAcentral describes it as "bacterial SSU rRNA". It matches the Rfam family "Bacterial small subunit ribosomal RNA", at positions 8 to 796 of the family's 1533-position model. The record is from RNAcentral.